RNAcentral lists this unclassified non-coding RNA (181 nucleotides) under uncultured Dactylella. Its description in RNAcentral is "sequence contains ITS1". Lineage: Eukaryota; Fungi; Ascomycota; Orbiliomycetes; Orbiliales; Orbiliaceae. The record is from RNAcentral.
CCAAACUUUAGCUGCUCCGGUUCAGGCCGGUUGCACGCUUCAACCCUUUGUGAACCAAACACCUUACGCUUCGGCAGCAGGUCCCAGCUGGAAACAGCUGGGCUGUGAGCCUGCCGAUGGCACCAAUUUAAACCAGUCUUUUAAAAUAUUGUCUGAACUAAAUAUUUUCGAAUGAAAAUUA